ACGAACGCUGGCGGCGUGCUUAACACAUGCAAGUCGAACGGUGAAGCGCCUUCCUUUUUGGUGGGUGUGGAUGAGUGGCGAACGGGUGAGUAACACGUGAGUAACCUGCCCCCUUCUUCUGGAUAACCGCAUGAAAGUGUGGCUAAUACGGGAUAUUCUGGGUCUGUCGCAUGAUGGGUCUGGGAAAGAUAUUGUUUCGGUGGGGGAUGGGCUCGCGGCCUAUCGGCUUGUUGGUGGGGUGAUGGCCUACCAAGGCGGUGACGGGUAGCCGGCCUGAGAGGGUGGACGGUCACACUGGGACUGAGACACGGCCCAGACUCCUACGGGAGGCAGCAGUGGGGAAUAUUGCACAAUGGGCGCAAGCCUGAUGCAGCGACGCCGCGUGAGGGAUGGAGGCCUUCGGGUUGUGAACCUCUUUCGCCAGUGAAGCAGGCCUGCCUCGUUUGUGGGUGGGUUGACGGUAGCUGGAUAAGAAGCGCCGGCUAACUACGUG
RNAcentral lists this ribosomal RNA (493 nucleotides) under uncultured bacterium. Its description in RNAcentral is "partial 16S ribosomal RNA". It matches the Rfam family "Bacterial small subunit ribosomal RNA", at positions 29 to 507 of the family's 1533-position model. The record is from RNAcentral.